GAUGAACGCUAGCUACAGGCUUAACACAUGCAAGUCGAGGGGAAACGACAUCGUAAGCUUGCUUUUGAUGGGCGUCGACCGGCGCACGGGUGAGUAACGCGUAUCCAACCUGCCCACCACUUGGGGAUAACCUUGCGAAAGUAAGACUAAUACCCAAUGAUAUCUCUAGAAGACAUCUGAAAGAGAUUAAAGAUUUAUCGGUGAUGGAUGGGGAUGCGUCUGAUUAGCUUGUUGGCGGGGUAACGGCCCACCAAGGCAACGAUCAGUAGGGGUUCUGAGAGGAAGGUCCCCCACAUUGGAACUGAGACACGGUCCAAACUCCUACGGGAGGCAGCAGUGAGGAAUAUUGGUCAAUGGACGAGAGUCUGAACCAGCCAAGUAGCGUGCAGGAAGACGGCCCUAUGGGUUGUAAACUGCUUUUAUAAGGGAAUAAAGUGAGUCUCGUGAGACUUUUUGCAUGUACCUUAUGAAUAAGGACCGGCUAAUUCCGUG
This 492-nucleotide ribosomal RNA is filed under the name uncultured bacterium. RNAcentral's name for it is "partial 16S ribosomal RNA". It matches the Rfam family "Bacterial small subunit ribosomal RNA", at positions 28 to 507 of the family's 1533-position model. The record is from RNAcentral.